Molecule: ribosomal RNA, 305 nt
Filed under: uncultured bacterium
Lineage: Bacteria
Description: bacterial SSU rRNA
Rfam family: Bacterial small subunit ribosomal RNA
Source: RNAcentral
UUUGUCCUACGGGACGCAGCAGUGGGGAUAUUGGACAAUGGGGGGAACCCUGAUCCAGCGACGCCGCGUGAGUGAAGAAGUAUUUCGGUAUGUAAAGCUCUAUCAGCAGGGAAGAUAAUGACGGUACCUGACUAAGAAGCUCCGGCUAAAUACGUGCCAGCAGCCGCGGUAAUACGUAUGGAGCAAGCGUUAUCCGGAUUUACUGGGUGUAAAGGGAGCGCAGACGGCAGGGCAAGUCUGAUGUGAAAGUCCGGGGCUCAACCCCGGGACUGCAUUGGAAACUGUCCGGCUAGAGUGCAGGAGCG